UGAAUAGGGACAGAAUUACACUCUGGUU
Molecule: non-coding RNA, 28 nt
Filed under: Homo sapiens (human)
Lineage: Eukaryota; Metazoa; Chordata; Mammalia; Primates; Hominidae
Source: RNAcentral